UUUGAUUGAUCAGUUUCCUGCUUUCCAUUUUAGAUAUCAUUGGGGUUGUUAGUUCUCUGGAUAGCUUUCUUUUCAAUGUUAUCUAUCAUUCUGUUUUGAACUAGACUUUUGAAAACGUUGUCAUUGGUGUGGGUUUUUUCUUCAAAAUGUUAUCACUCUUUCAAUUUCAUUAUGAAAGAAAUAUUUUCGUUUUCAAUAAAUCUGUAGUUACUAAUUAGUUAUCUAGUUAUAUUAUUAUUAUGAUUUACUGUUUUUCUCCAAAUAUAUCAGACUAGUUAUGAUUUUUUGAUCAGUCCUUUACUAUCUCACACUCUGACACAUCACCUCAUAUAUCAGUACCUCAGAGCACUGAGUCUUCAGGUAAUAUACUUCAAACAAGAACAACAAUUUUAGAAUCAGCUUAGACUCAAAUACAAGAAUCAUAAAGGAGAUACCUUAUAGAAUCAUAAAACAACCAACCUAUCUUAAUUAAGGAUUAUGUAUGCUUGAACACUCAAUUCAUUAAAUUUGAGCCUAAUUCCUUUAAAAAAGCUUUUAAAGAUGAGAGCCGAAAGGAAGCUAUGAAUGAUGAAAUGGAUGCAUUACAAAAGAACAACACAUGGUCCUUGAAUCUUGAUUCCUAUUGACAAAAGCAUAAAUGUUAUAAGGUGUAAAUGGGUAUAUAAAGUCAAGACCAAAUUUGAUGGAUCAAUAGAUAGAUAUAUAUAAGACAAGAUUAGUUGUUAAGAGCUACAAUCAAGAAGAAGAGGUAGAUUACAUCCUUGUAAUUAAAUUUUUUUCUUUCUCGAGAGGGUUAAUUUUAAAUAUUUAACCAAAUUUAAAAAUAAUUUUUUUCAAUUUAAUUGUUCUCGACGAGAUGUCAUAUUUUGGUACCGAUACAUAAUAUUAUCAUUAUUAACAUAAAAAAUUAAAUCUUUUUCAACAUAUGUUAUUAAAAUAUCAUUCAACAUCAUUCAUACGAUUGUGGUAACUUGAUUUCAUAAGAUUCAUUGCUGAAAAAGAAUUUUCCACUGAAACAUUCGCAACUGGUAAUAUGAGUGUUAAUUUUAACAAACAAAAUACCCAAAAAAAUACGAUAUGUUUUCUCUUCUCAAUCAACUUUCUAAUUUCAUUCAAAUUCGAAAGUUUUUCGUUAUUACGUACAUGAAAAAUAUAUUCUGACAGUUUAUUUUCAAAAGCUCUAAUGUCAACAGUAGAAAAAUUUAUAGGAUAAAAUUUCGCUAAAUUUAGUACUUUUGUUUUAUCAUAAAAACGAAAUUCAUUAUCCGACGUCAAACAACUUAUGUUUUAAAUUAGAUCCAUAUUUGAUGUUGCAAAACGACUAUUCAACUCUUUCAACUGUUUGUCAACAACUAGAUUAAACAAUUCAGCACGAUAUCGAUGAAUAUUUGUUACCUUUUGAAGUAAACGUUUUGAUCUACCAGGGGAAAUAAAACUGUCUUCCAUUAUAGGAACAUCGAUUUCAUUCUCUAAAUAAAAAGUUGAUAUUGUAGUUAGUAUUUAGUAAUGUUUUCCAACCUUCAUCUCGUAACAUUUGCAAACGAGUUUGAAAAUUAAACAUCAUUUCUAUCACAUUCACGAUAUCCUGUUCUUUUCGUUGCAAUGUCUGUGACAUACGAUGUGUAAUAGAUAGUCUCUUUCAUAAAAUACAAAGUAAUCAUAAAUUCAUUGAUCUUUUUUCGCAAUUUUAUAUCGGGAGGUAAUUUACUUACAUCGAGUGACUCUCGAGAUGGUUGUGGAUUGGACGAUGAAAUUGAAAUUGAUUGAUUUAUUCUAAGUCUUUUGAUUACAAAUUUAUACAUUUGUUUUUUUUUCUUUGUGUAAAGUUAUGACCACGGACGAAUGAAGGUGUGGAGUUGUGGUGAGUGGUGUCAAAAAAUAAAAAGAAUGAAAAAGACGGAGGAGAGGAAAAAAAACGAAAUUUUUAAAUCCUUAUCCGUUUUACAAGUUAUGCUGAAGACACUGUAGGUGGCCUUAUCCGUGUUUUCUUCUAGUUCUAAUGUUCCCCUUUUUAGAAUGAUUUAUGGACUGAUGAUUCGUGGGAAAAGUCGAAACGAGUUCAAAUGGCUGACUCUUCCCUUCCUACUUUAGCUUAGCUUGUCUUUUCCGAUUGCUGUUCAAAACUGGUAGAUGGGUGUGUUUGUUUUUAUGCAUUUUAUUGAGCCGGUGGUUGCGGUUCAAAACUAGCAAUUUUCUUGAGACCGCAAAAGGACAGUAAAUACAGACUGUACGUACAGUACUGGAACACCUACCACCAUCGGCUAUAGCGUUAUCAUCUUGAGCAUCGCAAAUAUCUUCCAAGGGUUCCAAAUAUCUUGAUAGAAUGUUUAUCAUGAAGAAGAAACCUGCAAAAAACCCAAAUAAGAAGAAACCUAGAAGAAGAAACACAAAGAAGAUCAAACUGAACUAUUUAUUACAGGUCCAAAAGUAUGUUCUAUUUCAACUAAAUCCUUUAACGUUGAAAUCAUUUAUUUUCCUUUCUGGGCCAGUCCGGACUCCAGACUUUUGGGCUUGUGUAGAUAAUCCAUUUAACCUGAUAAAUGAAUCCAUUAGUGAUAUUUAUUUUAUUAAACAUGAUUAAGUAAUAAUUGUGAAGUAAAUGUUAUUUAUUUAUAACUAAUAACCUUAAAAUUUAUAUCGGAUCCAUUUUCGAUUCGACACGUCCGUUCCGGCGACUCGCUGCGAAUACCAUUGCGAGUGGAGUUCGGGAGUGCCGUCCACCAUCGUGAGGCCGGAACUGGAAUGGAGUUCGUGAAUCGUGAGUUCGCGAUGGGUCAAAAACCCGGAACCACCAACUAUAUCUCUGGGAACUCAACACGGAUUUCAGGUACCGUCCUCCGUUCCCCCGCAAUGCAGUUCCUCACGCGUCGACCGUCAGAUUGCCUUCAAUGACCAUCUGUGUAAGGUAUCGCACCCAGUUUCAGAGACCGACACCGCGUAUUAAUAGAUGUUCUUGUUACUUUUAUUGUCCUUUCUUGUUACCUGGAUCCAGAUGUAGACCAACCCAGGUCUGUUUUGGCCCAUUCUUUCUUUAUUAAAUAAAUAAAUAUUGUCCAAACAUCCAAACCUAAAGCUCAACCCUAAGUCCUAACCAUAAUCGCCUCUAAUCAGUCGAAGCAAUGCCUUCCGUCGUCGCUGCCGUCCGGCCACUUGUCUCCGUGCAAGCAUUGGACGGAGACAUGAUCGUCGAUGGUCCGAACUCCGUUCCUCUCCCCGAUGUUAUGAAGACUCCCAUUCGUCCCGAUAUCGUUAGAUUUGUACAUUCGCAAAUGUCGAAUAACACCCGGAUUCCUUACGCCGUCUCUAAAAAUGCUGGUCAUCAGACAUCUGCAGAGUCAUGGGGCACUGGUCGUGCGGUGUCACGUAUCCCUCGUGUUGCCGGAGGUGGUACUCAUCGGGCCGGUCAGGGAGCAUUUGGAAAUAUGUGUCGCGGAGGACGCAUGUUUGCCCCCACAAAGAUUUGGCGCAAGUGGCACCGAAAUGUCAACGUCAAUAUUAAAAGACACGCGGUUGCUUCAGCUCUCGCUGCAUCUGCAGUUCCGUCUCUUGUUCUUGCUCGAGGUCAUAGGAUACAAUCGGUUCCCGAGUUACCGCUAGUGGUAUCUGAUUCUGCAGAGGGAGUUGAGAAAACUUCAUCUGCUCUUAAGGUCUUGAAGGAGAUCGGAGCCUAUGCUGAUGUAGAGAAAGCAAAAGACAGUCACUCCAUUCGAGCUGGAAAGGGUAAGAGCAGGAAUCGCAGGUACGUUAAUCGCAAGGGACCUCUAAUUGUGUACGGAACCGAGGGAUCCAGCAUUGUCAAGGCUUUUCGUAAUCUUCCCGGAGUUGAUAUCGUCAACGUUGAGCGUCUCAGUCUCCUCCAAGUUGCUCCUGGAGGUCAUGUCGGAAGGUUCAUCAUCUGGACAAAAUCUGCAUUUGAAAAACUUGACGAGAUUUUCGGAACAUAUGAGAAAGAAACUAAGAAGAAGAAGGGUUAUGUUCUUCCAAGGUCCAAGAUGACAAAUCCUGAUCUAUCUAGGGUUAUCAAUUCUGACGAGGUUCAAUCUGUUGUUAAGCCUAUCAUUACUGAGGUAAAGAAGGCGACGACAAAGAAGAACCCUCUAAAGAAUAUAAAUCUUAUGCUUAAGCUCAACCCUUAUGCAAAAACAGCCAAGAGGAUGUCUCUUCUUGCCGAGACACAGAGAAUUAAGGCAAAGAAUGAAAAAUUGGCUAAGAAGAGGAGCCCUCUUAGCAUGGUAAUCCCGUUAUAUUUCAAUUUAUUUUAGCAAUUUUUUUGUUUGUUUGUUUUUUAGUAUUUUUAUGCGAUAAUGUGUUGAUUGAAAAUUUGAAAUAUCUUGUUUACUUUCAAAUCAUUAAUUUUUGUUUCUUUUUCUUCAGGUUCUAUUUUUUCUCUAUAUUAUGCAAAUUAGAUUUUUGUGUUUGUCAUAUAGUUAAUAGCUUUUGCCAUUUUUUCAAUUAAUUUUAGAUUUUGUGUCUUCUAUGUACAGUGUACUGUUUUGGUUCUAAAUUGUAAUUGAUAUUUGUAUUUGAUUUUUAAUUUUUUUAUUUCGUAUUCUUAAGGUUUUUUUGCCACUUUUUCCAAUUGAUUCUAGAUUUUGUUUGUAGGAACAUAAAGUUCUGGAUGAUUUGUGAUCUCUCAUUAGUAUUAUGAAUAUCAUUUUUUGUUUGUUGUAUCAUUUGUAUGCUUGUAGAGUUGUAUGUAGUUACUUGUAUUUUUAUUGUACUAUAAUUUUAUAUGAAUUCUGAGCUCAUUGAGAAUUAUUUGAGUGCAGGAAGAGGUAGCCAGAAUUAAAGCCGCUGGGAAGGCAUACUAUAAAACAAUGAUUUCUGAUUCUGAUUAUACAGAAUUUGACGUCUUCACCAAAUGGCUUGGAGUAACACAAUGAUUUUCUCAGUUUCACCAAUCAAUUUUUGUUCCUCUGAUCUUACUUACUUGCAGUUCUGUCUGAUGUUUCGUUGAUCUUGUAUCAUUUCUGCUGUGUUUUUGUUACUGGUUGAGUCUGAACUUUUACCAUUGGAUAAUGUUUAUCCUGUAUUUGAGUUUUUGUAAUGUUCGUUCGACAAGGAUUUUUGUCUUAGAUCAUGAUUAGUGUAGUUUUGGCUCUUAUGAUUGAUUAGUAAAAACAUUGAUAAUUUUUUUCGUUCUUGAUUGUUUAUUUCCUUCAAAGUUGCAGAGAAAUAAUUGGAAAUUGGAAGUUAUGGUGAUGUCAGAUGUGAACUUUUGAUUGUUUGAGAAAGAGAAUUUAAAAACCUAAAUAUCUUGUAAAUAUAACAUGUUUGUGAGGGUAAAUGGGUAAUAAUGUAAAUGAAUUUAGAAUAUAUUUUUGAGAAAUAAAUGUGUUUUUCCAUUAUUCGAGGGUAAUUUUUCUUAUUGCAACUUUCGAAAUUCCAAAUGAAGCGGCGUCACUACGUCGGUUCUUCUCAGAUUCAUCUCGUGCGUUUCUUCUUCGUAGCUGUAAAUCCUGUGAGUUUGUGACUGAUUUUUCACAAUGAAAAGGUAACACAGAUCUAAGGUUUUGCGAUUAUCGUUUUUGUUUUAGGGUUUUCCGAAUUGGUUUCAGAUAAAUAAUAAUCUUAUGAUUUAAUGCUUAAUUCUAAUUUUUUAUUUUAGGGUUGUAGUCUUCAAUUCUUCACCCUCCCUUCUUGACUUCCCUCCUAGCUCCGGUAACCUUGCACGUUGCACCUGAAGUUCCAGUGUUACUGAUGUGCAGAAAGAGUUAUCGUCCCCGAUCCUAAUUCUUCUCUUAGUUUCAGUCCUAUUUCCUAUUGCAGAUUUUGUAGCCCUCGAUUUCGUAUUGCAGAAAUUCCGACGCGUUCGCUCUGUGAUUCUUGGGCAGUCUCUGGCUAUUUCGAUUUUGUCUCCGAUUUAAGGAUUUAGGUUUUUCUUGGAUUCUCUUUUAUUCUCUGAUUUAUCAUUUUCAAAAUUUAGUUCUGAUUUCUCAUUUCAUUUUGAUUUAGUCUCACGAUUUAGUUCUGAUUUUUAUAUUUCAAUCAAAUUUAGUUAUGAUUUUUACAUUUCAAUCAGAUUUAGUUUUACGAUUUUUCAUUUUCUCCUGAAGGGUAAAGUCAAAAUCUGUAAAUCUUGUUUAUUAUAAUAUCUUGUUGGAUUUGUAUGUUUUAAACUUUUAAUAAGGUCUGAUUUUUUUAAUAUUUGUAUGUUUUAUUUAUCUUGUUUUUUACAGAGAAUUAUUUAAAAAUUAAAAGUACAACGGUUAUUUUGUUAAAAUUAUUUUAAAUCUUAUUUUUUGAAAAUUUAAGGUUUUUCUAUAUAAAAUUAUUCAAAUUUGGAUAUUCCGGAUAUCCAAAAAAUUAGGCGAAUUUUGGAUUUCUUAUUCGAUUAUUAUUCAGACGGAUUCGGAUUAUCCGGAUAUUUCCCUGAUUUGAAUAUCUUGGUAUCCCAGCCGAAUCUGUCCGAAUAACAGGCUUAAUUACAAGUACACCAUUGUUUCACAUUCCCAAUUUGCCAAGAUUUAAUUUUCUUCUUUUCAUUUGAUUUUUCAUCCGAUCAGUGGAAACAUGUUCAUCGAACUUGACAAGCUCCCAAUCAACCGAGUCGAGGCUGUCGAUGACUCUGGAAUUGAACGGUUUCCUUUGUAUGACACCUCCCAUUACUUAAAUUUUCCAUUCACUAUCUUCUUCUUAUCUCUUCUCUUUUCAAAUCCUCCCUCUUCGUCGUCUUAUAUGGUUUAUGUGUGCUUUCAGAGAUGUUGAUCCGGAAGAGAGGAAAGUGGAUUUGAUUCGAAAGUUAGAUUUCUCAAGUGAGGUGGAGAAAUAUACCAAGAGAUCGAGAAAUGGCUCAGAUGAAAUUGCUAAGGAGAAAAAUAAGAAACCACCUGGUUCCACUUCUUGGCCUUGGCAGUCUUUGAUAGAAAGUAUGCAAGCUGCACAUCAGGAGCUUUCUGUUAUAAUUGACAUCAUCAACACGGUAUUAUUUGUUUUUUCCCUCUAAUUUGGUUUUGAUUCCUUGAAUUCUCUUGCAAUGUGUGCUUAGCAAAUUAGCUAAUGUUGGAAGUUGGAACUUAAAAUUGCCGAUGCUGCUACUAUUACUAUUGUAUUUGAAUACUAUUCAAUUAUGUAAUAUGCAGUGUUACUAUAGAUUAAGAUUCUUGUAUGGCUGGUUUUGUAGCAUUAUACUAACUAUUGAAAACAGUAAUAAACGAAUGCUUUCAAUUAUGGCUACAUAAGAGAAUUAUUUUGAUUGUUAUUUCAUUUGUUAGUUAUCUGAGAACUAAUUUUCUAUCAGCUAUAAGUUUUUAUCGAAAUAACCAGUAGCACUCUGUUCCAAUUUUAAUUAACCAGAGUACUUUUUGUACACGACUUCUAGAUGUCAUUUGAUAUGCUAAAUCUUUUUCUUUUGUGAUUGAUAUAGGUAGAAGCAAAUGAUGCGGUAACAGUUGCAGGAAUGACAAAACCAAAGCCAUUGACCAAUGAAAUUUUGUCAGAUCUUUCGGUAUCCACUGCAACCAAGCUUCAAUCUAUUCGGGUACAUUUUUUUAAAACUCUUGUCUAGUUCAUAUUUUAAUCAUUGUGGCGUGUUGAAUGUUGUACAUUACUACAAUUACGAAGAACCAAGCAGUGUGCACUAGGCACAAUACUUGUCAUUGGAAGAUACAUAUAUCAUAACAAAUACCUAAUUCCCAUUGUUAGCAAACAUCAAUGGUGAUUAAUCAACAUACCCACACUGUUCUGAAUUGUUGCUAAGAAGCUUACAUCUAAAUAUUUUAUAGGAUUAGUAACCAAAUGUCUAGCAGACAGUAUUGUUUAAGCACCUUUUCUCACAACAUCUAGAAAUAAUUAUCCUCUGGGGCCUGGACACAUCCAUAUAAACACGUAGAAGUGCUCGAUUUCAGCGUAAUAUCAUACUAAUAUUACACCACACCUUUUGUUGUCUACUAUUAUUUUUAUUGAACUAAUAACAUAUUUAUUCACUUUCAGCAUCUUGGAAAGUAUUUUAAACAAGGUUCAAAAUCAUUUGAAAAGUUAGUUGCGAAGGAGACUCGUUUCUACAAUGCACUAAUCAGGUAGUUGUCAUGGUAAUAUUUUUUAUUUUGUUUUGUCAAAUAAUAUACCUUAUUUUCUCAAUUUUCAAAAGAUUACAGCAAAACUGGAAAGUGAAACGGCACCGUCUAACCAUAUCUGGUCAUAGCAAUGAGGGUUUCACAAUUGAUUUGAUGGACAUAUCAUCGUCAGAAUCUAACACAUUUCCUCGUCCUUUUUCGACAUCUAUUAUCCGUGUCGAUCGUGACCUAAAUGGAAAAUUAGUUGUGCAAUUACCCUUGCGAUCAUUCCGCUCUCUGUAUUUUAGAUUCUUUGAUAGCAAUUCAAGUCGUAGAUUGCUACAUUCACUAAGGAGUAAAAUGCAUAGCAUAACUAACAAGUUUCCUCUAGAUGGUAAUAAUGAAACUGUUGUUGAAAAUGUCAAUGAAUGUGUAAAGGGAUCCCAUUCUGUUCUUCGCAACAUCCAUUUAUCACUCUUUGAAGAGAAGGUACUUUGUUCUCUAUUUAAUAUUUACAUUUCUUGUUUUCCCUUUGAAGUAAUUUCUUAUAGAAUUGAUUAUUUCCAGGUCUUUGAUUUUGUAAUUCAUGAAGCAUUAGCUUCAUUGUCAGGGGUCGAAAUCGUUACAUUAUAUGAGAAUUUUCUGAAAUUGGGGGUAGGAAAAGGAGCAUCUGUAAAUUUAUCCCUUAUGUUAUCUGAUGAGGCUGAUCCCAAGCCAAUAUUUGACGAUCCUUGUGAGGAAAAUAUUGAUUCUCAUACAAACUUAUUGGAAGAGUUGGAUAUUGACAGAGAACACAAUACAUUCAAGGAAACUAUCACGAGAUUUCCAAAUGCAGCAUGUUUUCAAAUUCAUCUAACAUCUACGGUACAUGAAUAUAUGUCCAGUCGUGCAAAAGAAGGAUGUCGUGAUGAGAUUGGACUUAUAAGUGAUUUUUGCAUGACUGGAGCUCACAGUAUAUUUUCCCAGAAGGUGUUAUCAGAUUUGGAAACUCUGGUAUUGAGGCACAAUAAUUUCAUUUAUACACUUAAAGUUAUUUAUGAUUGAGUUUUUUCUUUCUAAUUCUCUCUCUCUUUAUAUGUACUAUGAAGGCAAGUGGAAUUCCAUAUCUUCGUUUGCUGACCCAUCCAACUUGGCAUUCUCGGAUCUCAUCAUGGUCGCUUUUCGUAAAGCUUCCACAAUCCAUUCUAAAUCCUUUAAAUGCACACAAAAUGAGAAGCGAGUUCAACAUUAAAGUGACGGUCACUGAUGAUUGUGUCAAGGUCACUGGAAUUGGUUCACCUAAUGUAAUAGAUUCAUUUAGUGGCAAUUCAUCAUUUUCAAAGUCAGUUUAUUCUUAUUAUGAUCGUAACUUGGUUGACUUGAAGAUGAGCCUUCUACUUAAGGUACGAUCAAUAAUUUGUACAGUCUAAAGUCUAAACUUUAGACUUUAGAUGACCAUUACUUGGAUGUCUCAUCAUGAUGUUUGUUGAAACAGAUAGCUUGUCAGUUGAUCCAAUGGCUCCAUGAAGAGGCUCUGGUAUUAGGGCUCAUAGCAAGUAGAGACUUUUUAACUUUAAAUUUUGACAUAGCCGAAGGUAGCAAUAUGAAGUUGAUGGCACAUGUGGACGUCAAAGAUGGUCAUUGCAGCAUAUCAUGGUCGAUGGUGGUAAAUGAAAACGAUGGCAAACCUCUCACCGAAUAUUCUACCACCAAGUCUGAGGGGACCAUAACGUUCCUGGGCUAUUUAUCGCUAGAAACAUUGUAUUCUAUUUUAAUGGAUCUGGUUAGCUUUUGCAACAACCCCUUAAACCUUGUAGUCUCAUCUCACCCCAACAUUUUCUCUAGUUAAUAAACUAAUUAUGUUGUAAUUAGUUUGCUUGUACAGGUAGAUUCUUUAAAUAUUUUUUUUGUUUACAUUUAUUGCUUUUUUAUGACUUGUGAGAUCGUGUCUUGAGGCUUUUGUGUUAAAGAAAAUUUGAAAGUGUCAAAUGCUAGACUUCAGCUGGUAUCUGUGUGUGUAUAAUUGUAUCUGUAAGUCUUUGAUUAAGAUUCCUUCCUUUCUAUUUCCAUCUAGGAUGGUCAUGUGGGGAUUUGUUGAUUUAAAUAUGUCACGACUCGCAUAAACCCAUUAUAAACACUAAAAUUGAUAAGGAAAUGAGAAUCAAACAGAAAUUAGGUAGAUGAUCAUUUGCAUUAUUUAAAGAAUUCAUUGUUGUUCCUGAUGCAAGUUUAUGUCAGGUUAAAUCCUGAAUAGACGCUAUUGAUUACUUAAAAUAGAGCCAUGAGCGCUACCCCUCUGAAUGAAAGAAACAAUCAAUUUCACAAGUUGUUUUAACAGGACACGGAUAUUAAUUAUAACACGGACAUUGGUAAUAAUAACCAUCCAUUCAUAAUCCAAGUGCGGUCUAAAUAUUGAAGAAAAUUAACAGUAAAAUUGAUAAGGUAUAUUACAUUAAUUAAAGAUAAUUGAGGUUCAACACACAACAGAAAAAUGAACUAUUUUAAUUAAUCUUGAAAUCCAGGUAUGAAAGAGUCCCAAUUAAUUGUUCAUGGAUCCUGGCAUCCUGCUGUGAAGUUUUUUUUUGAACCUGGAUGUUUUGAAGCCAAGUGCCUUCACACAUUGCUGGAAAAUGACUUCUUUUACUGAUCUCAGAUUUCUCUUGGCAUAUUGCCCAAGAUAGAGCAGUUUAGCAAUGACCAAUGAAGGCCCCAAUUUUUGUGUGGAAUGAGGUAGAUUGUUGACCUUUCUAAAUACUAUUUCAAAAGUGCCCGAUGAGGUUUGAUAUGAUGCUAUUUGCUGCUUUUUAUUACAAUGCAUAGUUAUUACAAUGGAUAUUAGUAUAAACUACAGAGUACAGACUAUGAAAGGAUCUGAAGAAUAAAGUUAACUUAGGUUUGGAAGCUAAUGUGAGAUCUUAAAGAAAGAAAUUAUGAUCCCACUAAGACAAAGUCAAGGAAGACUCAUGAUUUUAAAUAAGAAGAUAAAGUCCUCAGGAAGAUUCUUCAUGAAUCAUGAUCACCUACCUGCCAGGCUGCAAAACAUAUAAGUAAAAAAAUAGCAUAUUUGCUGAAAGUCUGAAACCCACAUGCCUUUGUACAGAAAACACAAACACAAUGUUUACACUUCAUUUACAUGUUUAAUCUCACACUAGAAGUGAUUCCAUGUUUCAAUUAGAUAUUAUUCCAUGAUAUCAUAUUUCUAUUCAUUGAAUUCAAUACAACCAACUACAAAUAUACCCUUGAAAAGUUACGAUCAAUGCAAAAUACAACUGAAUUUCCUGUGCAGCCAAUGUAUGGACUAAUUUACUUGCAUCCUAUAUCUUUGCAAGUAUUGGUUUAUAAGGUAUUCAUCAAUAUCUCAGUUCCUUAAGAAACCUAAAAGAUUGACCUGUAAUAUUAACACGAAGAACACAUAUGACUAGACUAAAGCAUGGAAUUAUAAGUGUAAUAAAUAGAAAAUAGAAGGUUAUUCAUAAUGUAGAUGUGGAAUAGAUCACAAAAUGAUAUCUGCCAGGCAAAAAUAUAAAAAUCAAUUUAGUUGUUGAAAUAAUUAACAAUCACCGUUCACCAUAAAUUGGUCCAUAAUGUGCCAGGCGAAAAAUAAAGAAUACCCAACCAUCAUUUUGGACCUUUGAUGUAAGCUUUAAAGCUUCCAACUCUGUUCCUGGAAAAUCCACAAGUAACAACAGUUAUAUUGUUUGAAUGUAUCCUCAAGAUACUGAAGGCAAUGACCAAUGGUUGAACACGAAGCACUGCGAAGUUUAGCUCUGUACAAAUCAAUAAAUAUGAAGAUGCACAAAAUGAAAAAAAGCAUAUUAAAAAUAAGUUGGUAAUUUGAAUCCCAUACAGAUUUAUAUGCAUAAAUUUAUAGAAGAUUAUAUUAACAAUUUUUUCUCAACCAUCUUGGAGAGUAGGAAACACCUUGAAACAUAAGUAUGUGAUUAAUAAUAAUUAACAAAUAGAAAUCUGUCAAUUAGCGGUUGUUUACAGACCACAUGUCCUAACUAAAACACAGAAUAAUUGUAUUAUAUGCAUGUGUUAAUUCUCUAAGAAAUUUAUAAACUAACAUUUUUCCAUUCCUUUCUAUGGCCAAAUACAAAUAUGAGAAAUCUUGUAAUGUAUACAAAAAGCUCUUUUCUUUCUACAAUGCUUUGAUGCUAGUACUACAGACCAAUAAGACUGUUUCUAAGUAAUGAGAAUUGAUAACAAACUGUCAACUAUGAAAGCUUUUUUGACUCACCGGAUACUAAAUGCUUUAGUUCCGAUAGAUGUUCAUCAGUUGAAAUAUGAAGAAAAAGACGGAGGUUUGUCAUUAAUGCUUGUUGUUCCCAACUUAUGGGUCCAGAUGCAAAUAAUAAGUUCAUAGUUAAACGAUAGGCAUUCAGCUCCAAUUUGUGAACUUCUGCAUGUACAUCCAUUUCUUGUUUAGUGGUAUGUUUCCAGGAAGAUUUCAAGGCAUCAAAAGAAUGAGCAUCAUCAGUAUAAUCAUUUAAAUCAAGAUGACAUCCAGUCAAUACAUCUAGAUUAUUACUACCAAUGGAGCUGCAUAUAGAGAGAAUUUUAUUUUCCAAUCCAUUAGGUUCUGAGCUUCUUCCCUGGGAAAAUGCAACUUCAGUCUUGCAUUUGCUCCAUCUCUGUUUCAUUUCAGAUUUUUCAGCUCUAUUCUCAGAACAAUUAUCAACGAGCAGUGUAGAAGAAUUUCCAGCAUCCAACUGUUGCUGAUUGAGAAGUUUCUGAACAGCUCUCUGAUUCUUAGAUUUUUUAAUAUUUUGAAAGAGUGGAAACUCUGAUUUUCGUUUUGUGCCACACUUUAAAUACUUACUCGAAAAGCCUAUAUUCUUUUUUACUGGAGUGAUUCCAAGUGUAUCAUUUUGAACCGUUUUGCAUUGUUCAGAAUGGAUCAACUCUAACUCAUCAGCACUGCGAUAUCUCCCACAGGUAUAACUACUGAAAUUCUGCGUGUAAAUAAAAAAAAGAUUAGAUAAUAUUUGACCUUGAUGAAAAAUCAACACAACAAUAUAUAACAAUACCAAAAGUACAUGCAAUAUCAUUGUAAAAAACAAUUGUGAACAAACAAUUUACCUUUCUAAUCACCACCCAUUUACCAUCUUCCCAUGUCUGCCGUAUUCUCACAUUCAAAUAAUGUAUUUUUAUUGACCAAAAAGAUCCAAGAAGCCUCACAGUGUAAUGGUUUUCAUCCAGCACCAUAAGUAAUUCAGAAAUCUUCCAAGACCCAUUGUCGAAAGCUUCAAUCAUAUCACCAGUUUCCCAGUCAGCAGGUAGUUUAUUUGAAGGAGGGCAAGGCCGGAUAGAUUUUCUAGAAACUCUUUCCACAUCUGACAUAUCAGGUGAGGGACACUGAUACCUUACGUUGUAAUAUCGACCAUUACCAGAUAUUAUCUCUGCACGCCACCAAGAACCCGUAGGCGUCUCUCUCAUGUUCCGCACCUCUACUUUAAAUCCUUUUUCGAAGAUCAUGUUUAUUUUGAGUUAGCAAUGGAAUCUCUUGAUCCUGUUCACAACAUGACAUAGAUUAGGAUAUCAACUCAGCACUUUAUUAGGGAAGAUUGAUAAUCUAUUCUAACAACCCAAUAAAAAAAAUCCAGUAGAAUAAUAGAAUAGAAUCAACAUAAUCGCAUAAAUCAUUUCAAAUAAAUUUGAACGUUGUAUGUUAACAGAGGAAUAAUAACACAAGUUAGCAGCAUAUAAUUAUUUAUUAAAGGGGAAAUAUCCAGGUUCCCACUUUUUCUCGUCAAAUAUAAAGUAAAUAAAUACAAAACUCACAACAUCAAGUUGGAAGAAAAGAAAGAAGAAGAAAACAUUUACAGAAAGAGAGAUCUGAAAAUGCACUAUCUAAAAGUCUGAAACAUCUACAAAUCUCGAACAAAAACGUCUUAAAUAAAAGUCUAAAUUCACUGCGACAUUGAUGAAAAGCCGGAAAGUAAAGAAAACCACAAAAUCUACAAUCUGAUGAUCGCAGCAAUAUGUUAAGAAUAAACUGAGAAAUUCUGGAAAAAAUAAACUAAAUAUAAAAGCAUCAAUCAACAUAUUAAAAAAAAAACAAAACAUUUCUAAACCACAAAUCACCAGAUUCUCAACAACAGUCUACAUCCACUACCAACAACAAUCGAAAACAAGAACAGAAACCCCAGAAUAAAGAGCGAAAACCAAACAUUCGCACAAAUUCAUCUUUCUUUCCACAACCACAAUCAAAUAAAAACACAGAACCGCACGAGCGAGGGGGAAAAAAGAUGAACAAUCUCAAAAAAAAAAAAAAAAAAUCACUGACCUGGAAAAGACGAUCACACACAGAUUACAGCAGAUUACAGCAGAUUAACGAUUUCUUUCCUCCCAAGGAUUAUCGAUCAACACAAAGAUUCAGAAAUAUUGGAAUCAGUUAUCUCUUUACCGCGUCCUUCUCUCCGAACUUUAUAUCUCUCGUUCUUCCUCUUCUUCCACUGCACACCGGAAAUUUGCAGAAGGGUGGAGAAUUCAGAAAAAAUUUAGAAUGGUGGGCCGUGAUAAAAUAAGCCAAGUUUUUUUUUUUUGUUGUUGUUGCGUAAAAUAACCCUGGAAUUUUUCGAAAUUACUUGACGUCGUGCGUGCCCGGUUUCAGCAACCGAGUCUCACCAUUUGCUGCGAUUGCCACGUCAGAUGCCUUUUUAUUGUUGGAAUGGGUUUUGCAAAUGGUGCAAUUCUGUCCAUUCGAUCUCAGAUAUCUAUAGUAAAUUAAAUCUGUUUUAAACUUAUAAUUAGAAAUGAAGGUUUAGUGUUAAUCUCCUUCCUCUGUUUACCUAAUUUAGCAGUGGGUAAUUAGCAUCAUUAUUCAUAAGUACAGACCAUAAUAACAUUAUCUGUUGUAGUAGCUUUAAAAGAAAGUUAAGUAGUAGUAGUUAACUUAACUUCCAAACAAUCAAUUGAGUGGUGGUGAACAAAAUGAAACAAGAUAAAAAAAAAAAAGACAGACAAUACGCAAACGACAUACCUUGUCCACAAGUAAGGAUUUCGGAUCAUCAACCCUAUCUAUCCUUCAAAACAUGUCCAGGACAAAUGGCUUUCAGAUGAAAUUACAAAUUGCAAAACAACAAGCAUGUUCCUUGUGUCUAUCUUUUUUUUUGCUUCAUUUUCUACUAGACUGACUAUUUAUUAAAUGGGUAGCAAAGAAUUAGGCAUUCAUGGUUCUGGUUCAGGAGCAAAAGGAAUUGGCUUAGUUGGAGCAGGUAGACGGCCGAUACUGUCGACCUUAUCACGUAUCUUCGGUGGAGGUCGAGCAGGGCGUGGUAACAAUCGUCUCUUCUUUUCAAACCAUUCUGGUUUUAGUAGAGCUCGUAAUCCAAGUUUGUUGUAAUGAACUUUCCUCACCGAUCCACCUGCUGCUUCAACAGCUUCCUUAGCUCUAACGGUCACUCUUGACACCUGGAGAGAAUUUAAAUAUCAAUCAGAAUAUAAAACACCUAAAGCUAUCCAAGUAAUCAAUCACAAGUCGAUAUUUAAGUAAAAGAAAACAAUCAGUUGAUGAAAUAACAAUAAAAAUUGAUAAGAAAACAGCAUACCUCGAGGUGGAUCGGCCACUGGAUUUCUUCAGCACCACGACCCAUCAACCUAACACCAUCCUCAAUUUGCUUACCAACAGCACCGGUGUCCUGAGUGUAACAUAAAAAACAGUUAACAGCGCCAUUCAAAAUCCAUAUAAUCUAGUCAAAGCAUAAUAAGAAAAGAGCAAUACUACCUUGAGAGUUUUCAUAGUAAUAAGUUCCGACGAGUCAAUUUUUCCAGCAUUUAUGAGCUUUGCUAUCUUUCCCAAACCAAUUGGCUGAAAUAAAAUAAAAAUACCAUCACAAUAAAUAAAUCACUCAAUUCCAAUUAAAAUCAGUUGUCCACUUAUGCAAUGCUAACUAAGCAGUUGGAAUUUUUAAGAUAAUCCAAAAGAAAUUGAAAGAACUAAGCAAUACAGGACAGUAAGUCCAUAAGAAAUAUGCACUUUACUCACUCGCUUAAAUCCAGACAACAACGGUGUUUUUAGUACAAAAUGCAGUAGGAUAAAAUCACCUAAAAUCAGAGAUUGGGGGAUUCAAGCAUUUCUGAAGCUGGUCUUUUUAUUUUUUGAGUCGCUCUAAAAAAACCGAAGCAAUGAUACUGGCUCUAGUUUUAUGGUGAUUCACAUCAGAAUAUCAGAUAUCUAAUCUGUUACAAUGUGCGAUGCAACUCAUCCAAGUCGAUUAAAAUCUGUCAAUUUAAGAUUUAAUUAUCAACCAACAAACCUCUUUAAAAAUAGAGUUUUUUUCCUUUCAAUUUUCACUCUUCAAAAUCAUACUACACAAUCCGUCUCAUAUCUAAUAUUUACAUGACUAUGUAAUUUAGGAAAAUCAUAAGUAAAACGGAUGAUGAACAACGACAACAAGAAAAUCUCACCUGAAAAGGUGAUAUUUUUCACCUAUUUGCAAAAAAAAAAAAAAAAAAUCUCACCUGAAAAGUAAGACUGAACUGAUUCGUGAAACCUCGUUUUGGCAAUCUCCGUCUGAGAGGAGUUUGCCCACCUUCAAAUCCACACUUAUGAGUCCCUCUAGCUUUCUGCCCCUUGUGUCCUCUUCCAGCCGUCUUCCCUUUCCCAGACCCGAUUCCUCGCCCCUUCCUCGUUUUCUGCUUCCUCCUCCCGGGACUAUCCUGCAGGUCGUUCAAAUUCAGUAAACUCGAGUACCCCAUUGCCAACAUUCUCACAACACCAGCACCAUGGCUGCCGCCGAAAAAUCCCAAGAUUCCAUUAUGGACAGAAAUUGGAGAUGGUGGGUGGAGUGGCAGGAGAGGACGGAGGGAACGAUUGGUUGAGAUAAAUUUGGUGAAGUUCUUCAACAUAGUUGUUGGAUGAUUAGGGUUCAGGGUUUAGAGAGAGAGAGAGACAAUUGGCGAAGCCGUUAGGAAGAGGAUGAUGGUGAGCGUUUUCCCGACGAUGUAUUGAACUUUGGACCGUUCGAGAAAGAAUCCGACAACCCGAAUAUAUUGUAAAUAUUUGAUGUUUAUGAGGGUAAUAGAGUAAAUGAACUCAGAAAAAGAUGGGUUUUCGAGGGUUAAGAAGAGGCAAGGACUUUUUUUUUGCCGUCAUUAGCUCUUCUCGGAUUUACUCGUGCGCGUCUCGCUCAGGGUUGUGGCCGAUUUUGUUAACAGUCAAAGGUAACACAGAUCUAGGGUUUCGUAUCUACUGCUGUUUGUUAGGGUUUUCCUAAACUUAUUCGAUUUGCAAAAGAAUCCAGCACGGCGAUCGUCGUUCAAAUAGUGUUUGGUUUCGGUCGGAUCCAUUUGUUAGGGUUUGGGUUUCCUUUUUUAUGCGGAUGGAAUCGGAUAAUUUUCUUUGAUUCUUAAUUCGUCGUGUUUCAGUUUGUAGUUUUUACGACUUUGCAGUGAUUUGUCGUGUUUUUGUUCGUCUAUUGCUUUCACUGUUGUUUAGACUUUAGAGUAAAAUUAAAACUUCUACUAUGUUUUUAUCUCCCAAUCGUAGCUUUACUAAAGCUGCUUCUUGUAUUGAGUUUGUCAAUAUUUAUGUUUGUUGUUUUUUAUGUUUGAAACUUUUAUUGUUUUUUUCCCCUUCGUUAUAAUCUUUUACCUGGAAAUGAAAGACUGAUUUUUUUUCUGGUAUUAUUCAGAUUCUGGAGAAUGUUUUGAUUUUCAUCUCUUUAAAUGGCAAAAAAGAAAAAUCCAACUGUGUUUCUUGAAGUCUCUAUUGAUGGAAAUGUGGCAGGAUUGUUGGAAUUUGAGGUAUGUAAUAAUUGAACUGACAUUUUCAAAAAAUAUUUAUUUUAUAUUACAUAUAUGUUCUGUCAAACUUGUCUCCGCAGCUCUUCUAUGAUGUGGUUCCCAAGACGGCUGAAAACUUCCGCGCACUUUGCACAGGUAAAUUAUCCUUGCUAUGUUCAGUUACUAGUUAUCCCACAAGAUUGCUGUUUAACUUGAUUUUAUACUGAUUGUGAUAUUUGAAUUUAUUUUUCCAGCUUGUUUUUGUUAUUAUGACAAUAUCAUUUACAUUUUCUCACGUAAUUUACCAUGUUCUAUAGGUGAAAAGGGGAUUGGUGUAGUAACUAACAAACCAUUGCACUAUAAGGGAUCUUGUUUUCAUCGAAUUAUUAAAGGUUUUAUGGCUCAGGUAAGCAACAUUGUUACCAUUUUAAGAUUUUUUUUGUUAAUGUUAUAUUCUAGGUAAUGUUUAUUUUUUGUUAACCUUGUUAUAUAUAACAAGCAAUUUAUCUAGUCACAUUUCACUAUGUUGUAAUCAUGUUGAUUGAUUUUCUUGUGAUAUUUAAUCCAGUAUUUUUCAAUAUUGCCCUAAUAAUGAUUUUUUCAUGUUUUGGCUCAUAUUUUAUUUUUAUCUGACUUAUUUUUCUUUUCUUUUAUAGGGAGGUGACUUUUCCAAACGCGAUGGUAAUGUCUAGUGCAAUGAGAAAUCAUUUUAUUAAUUUUUUUGUCAAUAAUAUGAUUGUAUUAUUUGUUUCCCAUAUUGAUAAAACUGCUGCUUUAGAGAUCAUGCAGCUCAAAGUAAAUCUCUUGCAAAUGAUAAUUAGCUAUGUUUGUCCUUAAUAGUACUAUUUAUGUGGAAUAUACUAACGAUAUUGUUUUUAUUUAUUGUUAAUAUGAUUCAUGAUGCAUUUGUUAGUAUUUUUUUAUGAUUUUUUUUAAUUCCAUUUGGUCUUCACUGUGAUAAAUUGAUUAAAUUCUUAUAUAAACUUACAGGAAGAGGUGGAGAAAGCAUAUAUGGUGGCAAGUUUACUGGUAAAUACCUUUUUCCUAUGAUUUUUUCUUUCAAUUUUUGUAUUAAGUUUUGACAAUCUGCUAAAAUUUCAUUUUUCUCAUACAUGUGUUUUCAUGUAAGCACUAUUGAGUUUUAUUGUUUGCUGAUAUAUUUUCUUCAAUCCAUUAGAUGUGAUUUUUUUGACAAAUAUUCUGCAAUAAAAACACGCCUUUUAUUCAUAUGGAUUAUGAACUUUAACAACUUCCACUAGUUUCUCUCAAUUAUUGGAACUUUUUGAUGAAAAAAUAGGAUCAUCAUGGCAUGACUGGUUGUGUACAGACAUUCAUCUGAUACUGGUCAACAAGUAAUUUUCUGUUCCAUACACUUCUUUUUGGUGAGUAAAUGAGUGAUAUUUCUUUGUCGACAAGAAUGAAAUUAGUUUACAUAUACAGAUUUAGUAGAAUAAAGUACUGCAUAUAUUAUUUGCAGUGAAAAGUAACCAGUAUCUCAAGGUGAUAAAAGGUCAACAUGUUACAGAUUUAUUCUGAUAUUUUUUAAUAUUUCAAUGGUUAGCAUUGACGGGUCAUUAUUAGUUUUUUGACUCUUAAAUUUAAAGAUAUUUUAAUUAAUAUUUAUUUCGCUGACAUGGUGUUCCUAUGUUUUAUUUUGGCUAUCUUAUUGUUUGUAGUUACAUUUUGAAAUUUGGAAGGUACGGACAUGAGAUAAAUUAUAUUUUGAAUAUGAACAUUAUUUCAACUUGAAAUUGUGCAAAACGCUGGAGUGUUUUAUUAUAAUUUAUUCAAUUUCAUGCUAAUUGCUAACCUCUUUUAAAUCUUUUUUUUUCAGAUGAAGGCUUUGCAAUAAAACAUGAUUCUCCUGGUCUUUUGUCUAUGGCAAAUACUGGUCCUGAUUCUAACAAUUCUCAAUUUUUUAUUACAUUAAAGGCUACACCGCAUCUUGAUGGGUAAAUUAUUUUAUCAUGAAAAUUAUGUUUAUUUUACGCUUCAUUUUUUCUUUUUGAAUUAUUUCUUUAUAAAUUAAUCGAACAAUUAGCCUCAUCUGUUUUAUUUCUUCUGUAUUUUUUAAUUUGGAAUGCUUAUGUUCAGGAAGCAUGUUGUUUUUGGAAAGCUUGUUCACGGCCGUGAAAUACUCAGGGAUAUGGAGCUUGUUGACACUGAUGAUUCUAAUAAACCUUUGGUUCCUGUGAAGAUUGUUAAUUGUGGUGAAGUUCAUAGUGGUAAAUCUGAAUCAUUGAUUGCUGAUAAAGGUAAUAAACUUAUACAUUUAAGUAUUUUACUGUAUUACAUUUCUCUGGACAGGUAUUUGUUUAAAAAUAAUUAUCUCGUCUGAAUUCUAAACGUCUACUGAUCUAUAUGUUAAUUGAGCCAGAUUAAGGAUCCUAAUAUCAGAAACAGUGUCAUGUGAUCAUUAUACUCUCUUAUGAGUUUAGUUUUCGUACAUUAUCGGUACCGAUAUAUCAAUUGGAAUGAUAUAUACUACUUGUACUCUAUGAUUUUUAGUUUCUUAAAUAUUUUGUCGCUGGUGUAGAUUGAUAUUGUUGUGUUUGGUAUGUUUUCAAUAGACCAGUUAUGAUCAAUAAUAUAAAUAAAAAUCCACACCAAAUCUAAUUUGGUAUAUAACAAUCAAUACAAAUGUAGUUUUUUCUCAUAAUAGUUUGUUUUCCUUUUUUUGCAGAGAAAAGAAAGCCAUCCAGGCAGAAAACAUCAGUCAAUGACUCAUCAAAUGAUGAUAUUCGUGAUGCGCGUAGGAAAUCGAAGCAUAAAAAAUCAUCUAGGUUGAAGAAAAAGAAAAGAAAGCGAUAUUAUUCUUCAGACACAGAAAGUUCAUCUCUAGAUUCAGAUACAGAAUCUUCAGAAUCAGACAGCGAUUCAGAUUCUUAUUCAUCUUCGUCAUCAUCUGAACUGAGCUCAUCAAGUGAUGAUCACCGAAGGAGGAAGAGACACUCAAAAAGAGAUAGAUAUAAGCGCAGUAAAAAAAGACGGGAGAGGAGAAAAGUGAAGAAACGUCGUAGACGUGAAAGACGUAAGCGCAGGUCAAGAAGGUUAGCAUGAACUGCUUUUUAAUUUUAAUUUUUACCCAGAAGUAGUUGUAGUUCUUUUUGUAAUUAAAUAAAUAUUUAUUAGGUAUAAGCAUUUGUGACUUUGCAAACAGUAGCAUUUAAUCAAUUCUAAUUCUGCAAUCUUAAUCUUUCUUUCACUUAGAUUACCUAAGGUUAAUAGUGAAAAUGUGGAUACAAGUGGUAGUAGCUCUGAAGAUGAUGGGGAUGAUGCCAGUGGGAAACGAAAAAAGAUUAAGGUGUCUUCUCAAACUGGUAUGGUGCUGAUUUAUUUUGUUAAAUAAAAUUACCCUAUAGCAUCACUUUUUUUUUGUCAAAUCAAUUUUGUAUAAUAAAUUUAGUAGAAUUUACUAAUAAAUCUAGUGGCUUUUAGCUUCUCUUUAUCACGUUUUUAAUAACCUUUUCCAAUGUAUUCAUCAAUUGUUUUGUCAAUUCUGAUGAAAGCAAUCCAUAAUUAUUUAAUUUUAAGAGAGACAGAAUAGGAUUCAAUUUUCAUUUCCCUACAUUUGGAAAAGGUCAUUGCUUCAAAAUUAAAAAUUUAACUGCUGCUAUAAAAUAUUUCCAGUUUUCAUUUAAUAAAAGCUUCAAUUUAAAGAAUAAAGCUUCAACUUUAUUUUCAUUCUUUGUUAUACAGUAUGUUUAUUACGUUUCCUACUAAUCUUUUCUUUCAUGAUGUAUACUUAGAUUUAUAAUUUUGUUUUCCCAUAUUUCUCUAGAUCCUCAUUCGUCAAUGGUAAAGAAUGAAAGUACUGUAGGAAAAAUGGCCUCAAAAGAAGAUGAUUUUUUAAGUAAAAAUGGAGAGAUGCGCAUGAAUGGGAACAUAAUUGAUGAUGAACCUGGCAAAAGUGGAGAUAAAGUAGUUGAAAACAGUAUUUUUCAAGUAAAAGCUAGGUUUGUUUACUUUUAUUAUAUUCUUGUCGGUAUAUUUAUACUACGUUUGUCUGAGAUUUGUAAUUUAUAUAAAAUUAAUAUUUAUACAUGGUUCAGAGAUCAUCAUCCUAAGCAGUCUGUCAGAAAUCGGAUCAGUGUCAGUCCCAAAGUUGAAGUUAGUAAGAGCCCUAGCAUUAGCGCGAACAAUCUUUCCAGUCGGAGUCCUUCCUCCAGAAGUCCAAGCAAAAGUCCAAUCCGUCCGUCUGCUAAUCGUAGCAGAAGCAAAAGUCUUAGCAAGAGUCCAUUAAGACCACCUGGAAGAAGUGUCAGUCGUGGUUCAAUGAGGUCCCUUUCACAUAAAAGUGACAGUCAAAGCCCUCUCCGACCCUCAUUUCGAAGAGCAGUUAAUAGGAGUCCACUUAGAGCUCCACAAAGAAGUCCUAGCAGAAGUCUUAGCCCUGUCCGCAGAAGUCCUAGCAGAAGUCUUAGCCCUGUCCGCAGGAGUCCACCUAGAAGAUUACGUUCAAGAAAAUCGCUUAGCAGGAGUCUAAGCCCUGUACGUAGGGCAUCACCUGUUGUUAAUCGUAGGAGGAGCCCUUCUAGAAGUGAAUCUCCAGACGGUUCCCCAAAACGCAUCCGUAGGGGCCGAGGAUUCAGCCAGCGAUAUUCCUAUGCAAGAAGGUACCGGACACGUUCACCUGAUCGAUCCCCUAUAAGGUCUUAUCGAUAUGGAAGAAACGAACGUGAUAGGUUGGUCAGCCAACAAAUAUAUAUUUUCCUUUAUAUCAUUGUUUAUAGAUCAUAAUCCCAAUGUCUAUUUUACUAGGUAUCCAAAUUAUAGAGGUUAUUCUGAGCGUUCACCACCUAGACGCUAUAGAAGUUCGCCUAGAGCUAGAACUCCUCCCAGGUUUGUCUUCUGCUGCAUCAUAUUUUCACCUUUAAGAUCGUAUAAUAAUUUUAUGUUGUCUUUUUUUGGGUUGUCAUAUGAGAUUAAUUAAAUUAAUAUGAUCAAGAAUUUUAGAUUCUCAUAAAUUCCAUAUUUCUUUCAGAUAUAGGGGACGUAGAAGCCCCAGUCGGAGUUUGUCUCGCAGCCCUCUUGUUUAUCGUAAUCGUACAAGGCGUGGUUAUAGUAGGAGCCCACCUCCACGCAGUGUUUCACCAUCAGAGCGGAGAAGGUCUAGGGUAACUAAUUAUGGACGGUCUAACAAAAGGACUAUCUCUAGAAGUCGUGACCCCUCAGGCUCCAGAUCAAGAUCCAGUUCACCAGUUGCGUCUCCAUCCCCAAAGCGUAUAAGUAAGGAUAAGUUAGGUAGCUCUCCUUCUACGAGUCCUGAUGGGAAAAAAGGCUUGGUUUCUUAUGGCGAUGGCUCUCCCUAAAUAGUGAUCUACUUCACUAAUGUUUUCUAUAAUUUCUGUACCUUGACUACUGUUUUCUUAUUCAUCGUCAGUUGUGUAAUUUGAAGCUAUUGUUAAAACUUUACUAGUUUACUUAUUUGAUCAUUUUCAACUAUCAUUGUGUUAUGAUAUUUUUCUUUCUUGGAUUUUAAUUCUUGUUAUAGUUUUUUAAUGAUUUGAAUAGGGAGCAAUAUAUGGUAAUAUUCAACUUAAAUAUCAGUUCUUAUGAUCCUAGUUAAAAUCUUUUGAUCUAUGUAUCUGAGAUUUUCUAUUACGGAUAUCAUUGAAGAUCCAGUGUUAAUCUUCGAUCUAUAUGAUGAUUAUACAGUUGUUUCAAUAGUUCGUGUACUUGUUAUGUUUCGGUUUAUUCUGGCAGGAUAUCCUUUUGGUCGAGUCCUUGGAUAGAGCUGAAUAUAUCUUCCAAAUGAUCAAAUGAAUAAUCAGGAAUUUUCAAUGUGUUCCUCCCUAAAAUCCUUGCUUCAAUUUUAUCAAAUUUGUGCUCUAUUUGAAGUUUGAAUCUUAGAUAAUAGUGUUUGUGGUUAAUUUGCUGACAGACCCAAUAAUUUCUAUAUAUUGAUUUUUUUUUAAAUAAUACUCAUUUACUGAUUACUAUUUAUUAUUUACUAAUAUUCAAUGAAUUAUGAUAAAAUUAUCACGGUGACUCGUGCAGUCCCACAAGCCGCCAGGUAUUGGCCUUGAUAUCCAUCAAACCCUAAAUCGAAACAGUGGGCGACCAGAAGAGGAGAAGAACACACUACUUUACGAAGAUGUGGAGAUCAACAAGUCUCCGUCUCCUCGUUCUCCAAUCCAAUGGACGGACCACUUCCAACUUUGCUGGAAGUCUUUCUUUCCACUCACGUUUCCUCUCAUCCGAUUCUGGUACGGAUGUUGAGUGGUGUGUGACAUGUUUAUGCCUCUUUUGAUUUCUUGAUAUGUGAAUUUUUGUUUUGCUAGAUGAUAAGACCGUGAAGAAGGAAAUCGUCGAGAAUGCCAUGCCAAAUCUAACUGGAUUCGAGAGGGAUGAGAUUGAGGUGCAUCGACAGGCAUUCUUUUCUUCAUCUGUUGAUUUUUCCUCACUUCCUGAUCAUAUCAACUAUGCAGGGAAACCAAAAUUUGGACGUGGAUGCUCCUUGUGGUUCGUUUGGAACAAAGGUUAGGGGUUUUUUCUCUUAUUUUUUAGCUUUAGGUUACUCAUGAAAAAAAUUAUUUUUUUUUUGUGGGUUUUGGUCUUUGGAUGUUGAAUUAAACGAAUUUUACAACACAUCUUCUGAUUAUGUUUUGUGAAAAUAAUCAAAUAUUUGUUGAAAAUGAUUUAAUCCAUCAGCAAUUCAGCUUCCUUGAUUGUGAAUAAUCUGUUGGGGUUAAAUUAUUAAAACAGUGAAUUUCAAAUCCCAACUCUUGAUUUAUCCAAUUAGCAUUUGUGUUUAUAUUGUAAUUCGGUAAACCUCAAUAUCUUUCACUAAAUGUGUUUCUUGCAUUCUUUUGUUGCCUUUUAGGAUUUUUUAAUUCAGUUCCUUUUAUUUUCUUCACAGGAAGUGUCUCCUGCCAUUCAAUCCUUUUCUGACAAAAGAAUAGCCGGGUGCCCUCUUAUUUUGUUUCUCAUGGCAAUGGUUCCCCCUAAAGAGGAGGGAUCCACUCAGUAAUGUCGUCUGCGAUUUUUUUCCUCGCUAUUUCUUGCCUGUGUUCUUAAAUUCUACUUCAUUGACUGUUGUCAUUUCAAGUUUUUUUAAUAAAUUUUAAAAAAUAGGUUAAUAGAUAAUAGUUAGAAUUUGGGAAUGGAGAAUUCUUACUAUUAUUAUUCCAUGUCAAUUUGACUCUACAUUCAUUCUUUGAAAUUGAUUCCAGCUUUGCAUUUUGGUGGUGGGUUGAUUGAUCACUGAUCAGAAGCAAAAUGAUCAUUGAAAGUUACAGUCUUACAGGACAGACCAUGUUUUUUAAUGACCAUGCUCACACAAGUUUUAAAAUUUGGUGAUCUCAUUCAAAUACAAAUCUUCUACACACAGAAGGAAGCAUAGAUGCAGCUAUUAACAUACCUAGUGUAAUUAGGUAAUUAUAAUUAUGAUUGCUUAGUUAUCAAUGCUCUAUAAAUAUUCAAUAAUGUAAUAAUUAGCUGAAUAAUAAAUACAAUUCCAUUCUUUUAUAUCAUAUAUUGUAUAGUUAUCAGCAGCAAUAACCUCAUCAAUCAUCAUAGAAGCUAAGCUUUUCUUUUCUUUUAAAUUUCAAUAACAUUAUGAUUGUUUUUGAAAAUCUCUUCUGUAUUAUGAAUGUAUUUUGAAUCAGCAGAUCUUGUUAUGAUUUUGCUUUGAUUGCAAUCCACAUAUGAAAUCAGAUGAUAUUUUAAUGGAUCAAUAAAAUUAUCUUGAUUUUGCAUUUUUGCUCAAAUUUUAAGUAGGAAUUUGCACAAAUUUUGAAACCAAAUGAUUUAUGAAUCAGAAAAAUAUUAUUUUAGGGUUACUUUUAAUCAGUUUUCUUGAAUUGUCAAUUAGUUUGAUACUAAAAGUAGAAAUGAUUGGAUUUGGAUGGUGAAAUCAAAUUAUCACAGUGAACUAACCUACAAUGGGCCUAUAAAGCAGCUGAACAUCAAGAUGAGUUGAAUCAGGGCACAGUUGGUUACAUAUGUAUUUACAUGGUUGGUUUUUUUAGCAUCGUGUCAAGUAUUGUUAUUUGUUAGUGAUAGUGGUCAAACCCUAAAUCGAAACAGUGGGCGGCGACCUGAGAAGAGAACACAGAACCGCACAAUGAUGUGGAGAAAUCUCCAGAUUCCAAAUCCACUGCGAUCUAAAACUCUCCGCCUCCUUCUCCUUCAAUCCAAUGGAGGAAUCACUUCCGACUGUGCUGGACGAUUCUUAGCUGGUCCUUCUACAAUUACCGCCCCUCUUCCUUUCCACGCACGUUUCUUCUCUUCUGAAUCCAGUACUGGUGCGAGCGUGUGACGGCCUGACGGGGUUAUCCUUCUUUUUCGUUCGUUUUCGUGAUAUGUGAUUUGUUUUUUUUAUCUUGCUAGAUGGGAAAUCCGUCAAGAAGAAAACAGUCGAGGAUGUCAUGCCGAAUGCCACUGGAUUGGAGAGGGAGGAAAUUGAGGCUGAGCUUGAAGUGUGUCGACUGCCAUUCUUUUUUGCUUGUUGAUUUUUCGUCACUUGUUUAUCUUACGUCCUAUUGUCGUUUCGAUGUUCGUUUUUCCAAUCAUGCAGGGAAAAAAAAGGUUUGACAUGGAUGCUCCUUGUGGUCCAUUUGGAACAAAGGUUAGGAUUUUUUCUAGAUUUUGGAUUUAGUACUUGCUAGUUAGUUAGUUACUCAUUAAAAAACAUUGAUUUUGCCUUUAGAAUGUUGAAUUAUAAAAAUUUCGCAUCCCAAUUUUUGAUUAUCAAUUGUGAUUUGUGAAUAUAUUGGUUAAAAUUGCUUACUUUUUUGCCAUUUUAAUACUUUAAUUGUGAUUUUUUAUGGCAAAACUAAGUUAUUGUGAAUAAUAUAUUGGGUUUUAAUUGUUAAAACACUGAAUUUCAAAUCUGGCUCCAGGUAAUUUAGUUCAUUCACUUCACUAUGAUAUGAAUGAUGCGAACUUAAACACAAUUCAUUCCCUUUUAUUAUGUUCACAGGAAGCGCCUGCUGUUAUUCAAUCCUUUUACGACAAAAGAAUAGUCGGUUGCCCUGGCGGUGAGGGUGGUAAGUUUAUUUGUUCACUGUGAUGGAAAUAUAUGAUUUGUAUGAACUAGAAUAAUAGUUGGUUGCUCCUUCUGUCGUCUUUGAAAGUCAUGAGUCAAUCCCACACAGGAUUAAAAUUAUUAUUUUUUCUUAUAAUUCAAUAGAGGAUGAGCAUGAUGUUGUCUGGUUUUGGUUGGAGAAAGGCAAGGCCCACGAGUGCCCCGUGUGCUCACAAUACUUUAUGGUAAUUUGAGAUUGUCUUAAAUAAUGUCUUCCAACAUACUUCAUGCAAAUCAACAGCAGACAGGAAGAGAGCUAAUAAGAGAAUGGCACUCUUCCAAAAAAUAUCAAUCUAGUAUUUAUUUUCCUUACUAUCAUAUCAUAAAUUUUUUUAAAUGUUUUGCAGUUGGAAGUUGUUGGGGCUGGAGGACCUCCUGAUGGACAUGGUGACGAUCAUGAUCAUUAAAUUACGGUCUGGUUUUCUUGAUCUCAAAUAAAGAAUGGUGAGGUCAGGCUGGCUGGCUGGAUAUAUAGAUUGCUAUUAGCUAGCUCCUGAUAAAAACUGCAUAGCCACCACUCAAAUGAGUUAGAGUUUUAUGUUUUAGUAAAUGUCUUUUUUUUUAAAAAAUUCCCUUUCCACGCCCGACAAUGUUUAUGGGUGAUUCUUUGUGCUCAUCAAUCAGUCAUUGUGUGAUGAUUGUCGACAACCAGUUAGUCAGAAUGCAAUUCGUAUAAUAUUCAAAUCCUGUUUCCAGACAAAUUUUGUGUAUGUGCUAUUAUAGAAGAGAGAUCUUUUUGGGUCUUCUUCCAAAUUCCAAAUUAUCUGGCAUGGCAUAUUGGCAUCUUUGAUUUGCAAAUUAAAGACACCCAACGUGUUGUUAAUUCUUGUCCUUGAAUUGAAAUGGUAAGUUUAAACUUUUGAAAUCCGAAAUAAGAUAAUUUUUUGUGGGAAAUUAUUUACUUAAUUUAGAAUUUUAGAUAUUUAGAAAAUGGAAUAGAAUUGAAAUCUCCUAGAAAAAGGGAAGUAACGUAGAAUAAAACUAUCUUGAACUAUUUUUGCAUCCAACGAUAUUAUCUUUUUAGUAGGAGAAAAUAGAAUUUCAGUAAUAAAAGAAAUCCAGGAAGACCACGAAGAACAAAGAAGAAUAAGAAAAGCUAGGAGUCUGACGAUUUCCACAUCCGAAAUAAUCAAGGAUUUCACAUAAAAAAGGUAACGGAAUAAUCAAUAAAUGAUUCCAUAGUACUUGUUUGAAUGCAGAAUUAGAAUUUAGAUUGGUUGGUUGAUUGAUUGAUUUUCUAUUGUAUAUUUAUUAUAGCGGUAGGAAAUGGCUGAUGGCGAAGAUAUCCAGCCUCUUGUUUGCGACAAUGGAACUGGAAUGGUGAAGGCUGGAUUUGCUGGUGAUGAUGCUCCCAGGGCAGUCUUCCCAAGUAUCGUUGGCCGUCCUCGUCACACUGGUGUGAUGGUUGGGAUGGGUCAGAAAGAUGCAUAUGUUGGCGACGAAGCGCAAUCCAAGCGUGGUAUUCUGACAUUGAAAUACCCUAUUGAACAUGGUAUUGUGAGUAAUUGGGAUGACAUGGAAAAGAUCUGGCAUCACACUUUCUUCAAUGAAUUACGUGUGGCACCCGAAGAACAUCCUGUUCUUCUCACCGAAGCUCCUCUGAAUCCCAAGGCUAAUCGUGAGAAGAUGACCCAAAUCAUGUUUGAGACCUUCAAUUCACCUGCCAUGUACGUUGCAAUUCAAGCUGUUUUGUCUUUGUAUGCCAGUGGACGCACAACUGGUAAGGGAAUUAAAGUCAUCAUGAUGAAUCCAAUAUUUAUUGUUGGAUUAACUACUUCAACUUUGGGAAUCUAUUUAUCUGUUUGCAGGUAUUGUUAUGGACUCAGGAGAUGGUGUGAGCCAUACAGUUCCCAUAUACGAAGGAUAUGCUCUUCCCCAUGCAAUACUUCGUCUCGACCUUGCCGGUCGUGAUCUUACUGAUGCACUGAUGAAGAUUCUGACAGAGCGUGGCUACUCCUUCACAACCUCGGCCGAGCGUGAGAUUGUCAGAGAUAUGAAGGAAAAACUAUCCUACAUUGCCCUUGACUUUGAACAGGAAAUGGAGACUGCCAACACCAACUCCUCAGUGGAGAAGAGCUACGAGCUACCAGAUGGUCAAGUCAUCACCAUCGGAGCGGAACGUUUCCGUUGCCCAGAGGUUCUUUUCAAACCAUCUAUGAUCGGGAUGGAAGCAGUGGGAAUACACGAGACUACCUACAACUCCAUCAUGAAAUGCGACGUGGAUAUCAGAAAAGAUCUCUACGGUAAUAUAGUAUUGAGUGGUGGAACAACCAUGUUUGCAGGCAUUGCAGACAGGAUGAGCAAGGAGAUCACUUCACUUGCACCCAGUAGUAUGAAGAUAAAGGUCGUCGCUCCACCGGAGAGGAAGUACAGUGUCUGGAUUGGAGGCUCCAUCUUGGCAUCUCUCAGUACUUUCCAGCAGGCAAGUCAAUUCAAUUCAAUUCAAUCCAAUCCAAUUCUAUGUUUUUUUGUUUUUGUUUUCAAACUCUUACUAACCUCCACUCCUUGAACACAGAUGUGGAUAGCAAAGGCGGAAUAUGACGAAUCUGGUCCGUCCAUUGUGCACAGGAAAUGCUUCUAAAAGAGACUUUCUGAUCAAUGGAUUUGGCAGAAGAUAUCAUUGUAUUAUGGAUUUAUUUAUGUAUCAAUGGAUGUCAAAUUAUAAUCCAUCCACUCAAUAACAUUUGUAUUAUAACUUCCUACAUGUCAAUGGAUGUAUUUUUUAAAUACUUACAUUCUUGUUGCUUCUCCAAAAUCUCAAUCUUCAUUCCAACCAGACCUACACCUAGGGUGUCAAAUAAAGCUCGGCUCAGGCUCGUUAAGCUCAUUAAGCUUAACGAGUCAAACUCGGCUCGUUAAGCUCGAUGAGAAGUAUAAAAAAAUAAAAAAAAUUAUAUUUAGAAAGAAUGUAUAUGUAGCACAGAUGGUAAAACGUUUGCUUGACAUGCAGUUCGACCCCCUAUGUCACUAAAAUUAAUUAUUUUAACCUGUAAGUUAAGUUCGAGCCUAAAACGCGAGCUUCGAGCCCAAGGUCGGCCAAACCAGGCUCGGCGAGCUCGAGCCUGGAUAACUUCUUAACGAGCCGAGCCUGACUUUAUAAGCAAAAGCUCGGUUCGGCUUGUUUGACACCCUACCUACACCAUUUGAAAGUUGAAACUCACUUCUGCUUCAUCUAAAAUUGAAUAUGAAAUAAACCAUUGUGGAGGGAGAGAGGUAGACUCGUCUCCAAAUAAAUAACAUAAGAGAGUAGUGCAAAUAAAACUACAAAAUUGAGAGAUUGUAUAUCGAUCCAUCUCUGCAUCUCUAUUGGCUCAUCAAGUCGCUUCCCUCCGAACCGUGUAGAGACUCAUCUCCAAAUGCAUAUUCGUUUAUGUUGUUGUUUUCGCCCAUUUCAAUAGUAUCUUCGUUAAUUUCAUCAUCGGUGUCGAAGUCCUCAAAAAUUACAGGUGAUGGUAUACUCUCAUCAAUGACUUCUUCCUCGUCGUCGUCAAGAAUCUGUAAGGACGAAAUUAGAAAAGCUAGAUCGAUCCACAUACAACUACUACUCUAUACAAUUGAUAAAUACUCACCCCAGCAAAAAUGAAAUCCACAGAAGUAGACAGUUGGAGCAAUGAUUCAAAAUUUGAGAUUCUUGCUUCGAUAACCUGUAGUUAAUGUACGGAAAUAUAACCAAAUACAUUGAAAUUCAGGCACGCAUUAAGCAUAGAAAUUUUAAAUGAAGUGAAAUGUGACCUGAUAAAGUGAAUUUAAUUUCGGCAAAGAUGAUUCUUGAGCAAUUAUACAGCUUGCACGUUGGACAAGCAAAAUUCUUAACCAUGGAAUAGCUGAAACAAAUAUUGAACCCCUGGAAAAACCACAUGAAAAACAAGUACGGCCGAUGACUAAGAAAAAUGAUAAUUCAAGGUGACAGUCAUUGUAAAUAACUAACCUUAGUUCAGUCAUGGAAAUAAGUGAAUUCAGGAGUUUGAGAACAUCUGAUGGGUUCAACUGUGAAACUGAGUUUGUGAUAACCUGUAUACCAAGAAGAACAAAUGCUACAGUUAAGUAAAAUAAUCAAAUCUGAUUUGUUUAAUGUUGUUGCAUGAAAAUGAAAAUGCCAUGAGAUGAUUAGUACAUAUACUUGCUAUAAACAAAAUAACAAAGAAAGAUGCAAUUAUCACCUUGUCAUCUCGUGAAUGCAAGCAUUGGAAAAGCAGUUGACGAUCAUCAGCGUUCAACGCUUGCUUCAGCAUUACAUGGACUGAAUCUGCACUAGGAACCUUGAUGUCAAUGGACAUUUCUCCUACAGAGGUGGUGUCUAUCUUAGAUUCUUCAAGUAAUCUCAGUUUUUCAAGUUUUUCCCCCAUGGUUGGCUCGUCCAUAUCGCAAUUUCUAUCUUCAAUUGACUCUUUAAAAUAAAAUAAAAUAAAAUAAAAAAAGGAAAAUUGAAUUCCAAGAAAUAGGUAGGUGAUCAAUGAAUUGAGGAUUGAGAGAAAACGGACGCGUACCAGUAUUAUCGGGGAGGGAACUUCCAGUGAACUCCAUGAAAAGUAUAGAGUAGUGUCGAUAAGAGAUGAAGAUCAGACGAGAGAAAAUGAUCAAGAGAUGGAAAUCAAAAUAUUCUUCAAAAUCUGUGAAUAAUAAUACAAGAAAAAAAUCAGCAAUUGUAGGUAAAAGAUUAUAUUGAACUACAAAACAUAAAACCAGAAUGACAGAGGAGGAACAAACCUAGAACCAAAAUUUCUAAAACUAAACGACGAUAGAAGAAGAAGAAGACUAGAUACCUAGGAAGAAACGGGAAACGAUGCCGGCGAUGAAAAUAACGGCUAAAAUACAAGGCGAGAUCAGCGAUCAGGUGAACGGCGUAACGACGGCAGAAGAAAAAAACUCGUUGGACUUCGCUCUUCUUAACCCUAUAAAAACCCUCUACUCCGUUCGCUCGUUGAUCAUUUAUAAUAUUACCCUCGUAAACAUGACAUAUUACAUAAUUAUUCGGGGAAUUAGGGAUGAAAAUUGAAAAUCAAGUAACAAUUUCAAACAAAACAUGACUAAAAUUUAAUUAUGUAUUUUUCCAACAUGACUAAAGUGUACAAGUAGAUGCUUAACGAUAAAUUGCAAGAAAUUAAACUACAAUUUAAUGUUUAUCUGGCGACUCGUCCGACAGCUUUUGCUCUGCUUCUGGCGUCAUCAUUUAGCACCGCUACUCUUCACAAAUCUUCUGUCAAUCCAGAAGAAACUCGAAAUAUCUUAGAUAGAAAAUUUGAAACGAGUUUGUUUUCGUAUACAGAUAAAAUAGAUAUAGAAAGAAAGUUCAGGAUUCUCCGGUUGCAAUAUAUGAGAACCUUCGAGCAGUGAAGAAUCUAUCAGUUCAGCGUAAUGAAGUUGAGACAAGAAAUCAAGCUUAUCAUCGGUCUACUGAGGAACACUUCGAUCUUCAUCAUAUCUAGUUUAACCUACAAAGAAGCAGCUCAAAACAUCAUUUUCUCCCACAAAUGACACCCAAACAACUAAUGCAAUUCAAAUCCCUUCAACCGCGUAGAUGGGAUCUUCUUCCUUACUGGCCGACCGCCAAUUACAUUCGUGUUGUCGUCUUCCUCCUGUUCAGCCACCGCGCUUGUACCCUCAGAUCUGCCCUGCUCCCGUUGAUGGUGAAUGUCAUCCAGGAUUGCCCCUUCAUUCAAGCUCUCUAUCACACAACAAGCUGAAACACGUCGCCUUGGAUCUAUAUUUUGUAAGGGAAAAGGUCGAGGACGGAGGACGGGAACAUUAUGGUCAAACAUAUUUCCGACACGAACCAAUGGGCCGAUAUACUUACAAAGGCACUUCCGCCAAAGGUUUUUUUAGCACUCCAGUCGAAGUUCGUCGGAGAGCCUCCCCGAGCUUGAGAGGGGGGGGCGUAUUGUUAGACAAAUAUAUCUUUAGGCUUAAUAAAAUACUGUUAGUUACAAAUGUAAUAUAAAUAGAAUUGCAUGACUCUUUACAACGGUCGGAUUGUAUUUUUGAUUUUCUCAAUACAAGAUUAGUUUUUUGAAAUCACACUCUGUUUAGGAAUUUAACAUGGUAUCAGUUGCUUCUUUAAGAGUUGAUUAUAACUAAUUAACAAGCGAUUUUGUUUCCCCAAAUCGCCCUUCUUCCCCAAAUUUAUUUCUUUUCUCAACGUGAUUCUUGAAGAAAAGUUCUUCCCUGACGUUAUUUCUGUUCUCAACGAUUUCGUCUGACGCGAUUCCAUGAAGCGUCUUCUCUGACGUUAUUUCUCUCCGUCACGAAGCGUCUUCUCUACGCGAUUCCACGAAGCGUCUUCUCUACGUGAUUCCACGACGUGCUUUCUCGUUUUGUGAUUUGCAAUUUGUGAGAUUCCUGCGAUUCUGUGAGAUUUGCGAUUCUGAUUUUGAAGGGUUGACCCCUGCGAGUCUGCACGCAAUCUUCUCAUCGUCACUUCUGCGUGAUUCCCAUUUCGCGAUGACACGAUUCCAGAUUUAAUUAAUUCCAGAUUUUCUGCACGGUCUAGAACGAGUUUUUCCGCGAUUCUUUAUCUUGAUUCUUCGGGCAGGUCUGAUUUUAUUUUAUUUUUCCCUUAGUAAAUUUUUUUCCCUGUGCUUUUACAUCAGACUAGUAUGUAAUCCGAUUCAUGUUCUUCUGGAUAUCCCAAGACCACCGAAUCAAUUCCAGAUUACUUGCAUAAGUGUCGCAAUGGAUCUACAUAUCUCCUUGAGCGAAGUGAUACUUAUCUAACCUGGAAGGCAUAGAUGUAGAAUCUUCUUCGAAUUCAUGACUUGACAUAUUUGAUUACUGAACCACUGAUUAUUCCCUCAGAAAAGCUUGCUGAUGGGUCUCUCAAUCCAGCUUUUAAAAUUUGGUGUCAAAAGAAUUGGAUUGUUAUAGGUUGGAUUCAGGCUGCAGACUGCAGUUGGGUCACCAAUGUUUUCCUUAGUAUUGAAUCACGAUACUACGUUAGAUUGUUGGAAGACACUCGAGCUAUAUCUUUCUCCACGCAAGAUAUGGUCCAUUCACAAAUUAACAAUUCGAGAUGAACUGUGUCAUCUAAAGAAAUUGGAUAACGAGACUAUGUGAGAAUUUAUCAUCAAAGUUCGAGCAUUGAUGGAUGGGCUAGAAACAUCAAGUGGUUGUUUAUCUGACAGAGACAAGAUCGAUUUUGUGAUUGAUGGUCUGGGUGUGGACCUCGUCCCUUUUUGUCAUGUAUUCACUCAUAGAAAAAAUAUGGUAUUUGAUGAAUUUAUUCAUCUUGUUGUUAAGGAAGACAUUUUUUUUCGUCGUUAAACAAAUCAAAACUCUGCAAUUAUCAACGAAUCACCAACAACAUUCGUCGCAAAAUCUAGAUUUUACAAAAAACAAGAAUUAUAAUAACCGCAACUCUGAUCAUCGUAAUAAAGAAUCAAACCACAAAAAUGAGAAAUUCAGCAACAAAGGUUCAAGUAAAGGGAGAUGGAGAAAUCCAACCACCGUAGUCUGUCAAUUUUGUGAUACUCUAGAAACGUGUAGGAAAGCAAUGGCAGCUAUAUGGAAGAUGAUGGCAAAGAUAACAACUGGUUGUUAGACUCUGGCGCCUCCUCACACAUGACUCUGGCGCCUCCUCGUACAGUAAAAUUCCUCUAGGUGUAAUACACAUGGAUGUUUGGGGUCUAUCACCCAAAACAUCGAUACAUGGAUACAAAUAAUAUCUAUUAUUGGUAGAUGGAUGUACAAGAUUUUCAUGGAUAUAUCCUCUUUUAUACAAAAGUCAGGUAUUUGACUGCUUUAAGGACUUUCAUAUAAUGAUUGAAAGAUCUUUAGAAUUACAGAUAAAAUCCAUACAGACUGACUGUGGAGGUGAGUUUCUCAACUCCUCAUUUUCUACGUAUUGCAAAAAUACUAGGAUAAAACACAAACUCUCAACACCCUAUGCUUCAGAACAAAAUGGAUAAUUAGUGGAAAUAAAACAUGGUCACAUAGUCUUUGUGGCUAGGUGUUUCUUCACACAAUUAAUCUGAAGUUCCAAAAGAGUAUUGGAUGGAAGCUUAUGCUGCUUCAGUUUACACAAUAAAUAGGAUUCCAUCUAGAACAUUAGGUUAUUCUUCUCCUUUAUCAUUAUUAUACAACAAAUUAGAAUUAGAGAUUUUGGAUUUUAAAAUUUGUUUAGGUUUGUAAAUAUGAUUUUAUUUAUCAAUGUAUUUCGUAUUUAUGUUUUAAAAGAUUGGAUUUGAGUUUUGUUAGGUUGUUUGAAAGGUUUUGAAAUUAGAUAUUACUUUUUUUAGUGUUAACGUUUUGAAUGAUUUUGAGUUGAGUUUAAGUUUUGAUUUUGUUAUAGGGAUUUUAUUAUUUUAAGAUUAUGUUAAUAAUUUAAUAUAGGAAUUUGUAAUUUAUUUUGUUAAAUUAAUGUUGUUAAUGAAUUCGAUAAAUUUUAUAUAUGUUGAUAUUGUUAAUUGUAAUUAUAUUUAUAUGUUAUUGUUAUUAUCUAACUAUUAUAAUUUAAAUAAUUAAAUUUUUUAAAAUUAUAUUUAAUUUAUUCUCGAUCAAAUAUUUUUAUAUAUUUAAAAAAUAUAUAUAUAUAAUUUUAAAAAAUAUAUUUAAAAUAUAUAUAUAUUUUUUAUAUUUCAUUAAUAAUUUGAUUAAAUAAAAUUUUAAAGUAACAAAAUAAAAAAUAACUAAAUUAAUUAGUGUAAUAUUAGAUCAAUAGUUAAUAUUUUUUAUUUAUAAUUUUAAAAUAAAAAAGAUUAAUAAAGAUUUUUGGAGGUGAAAUUCCAGCAAAAUAAUUUCCAAAAAAAUCCACAAAAAAAAUUUCCCGCCAAUAUUUUUAUAGAAAAUUUAAUUUCUCGUGAAAAUGUGAGUAUUGGUGGCGGAAAUCCGCCACGAAAAAUCUACCAUACAAUGUCUCUUUUUUUGUAGUUAAUCAUCAACAAUUAGGAUUGUGAUAUAAUUCCAAUCAGCUAUGAGGAAGUAUCAGAGUGUAUCCAGUCGGAGGGGGACAGUGAAAUCGCGGAAUCCCUAACUGGGGAAAGAUUGGGGAUGAACGACGACAGUCCAGAACAGCUUAACCGUGGCGAACCCGGUCAACCUUCCACAAGCAUGAGAGAAAGAAGUCGGCCCACUUGGAAGAUUACUUAAUGGGCUAGGGGAGGAAUUGGCCCACUUGAAGAAUUUAUGUUUGUUUUUAAAAUUGCUAAAUAGACCUUAAGUUUAAAUUUAAUGUUGUAAUAGUCAGUAGUAGAAUGUUUUAAUGAUUGGAAAAUCAGUAUCGAAAAUUGAACCAAAUAUUCCUGUUCUUGCGCAAACUUCCUCUCAAACCCUACAUCCGGCGUUGUGUCGAGUACCUCUCCACCCCUCCCAUCAAAAUCCGUCCGGUCUGCCUCAACUUCCAGCCGCAUUGAGCCCUCUGCUGAUUGGUUUAACAACCGUGAUCACCCAGAGCUAAGACUCAAUAUCAGGGAUAUAUUCCCGCCGUGAACUACCUUGGACACCUAAAAUCUCUGAUCUUAGAUCUAGGGCAUCAUCGACCUCAGGUCAAUUCGUUUUUAAAUUUGUUUAGGGAUUUAGAACCCUAUCACUGGUGCUUUCAAUAUUUGAUCUCUCAUUUCAGGAUGUCUACAAUGGAUUUAACAACGAAUCCAGACUUUCAAAGAUUACAGACACUACAAAUGUCUCAAAUCAAAGAGAUAAGCGAAUUCAGGAACAAUGUAAAUAACAAUUUCUUGGAGUUAGGGAGGCAGAUUAGUGAAAUUUGUUCCACACUCAAAGAAAAGCCACCAGAUACAAGUAAAAUCAAUCUGGAGAAUCCUGAAAUUGAAGGAAAUGCAAAAGAAAAACCUAAAUCACAUCAUCUAUUCUACCAGUCAGUGGUAGACUUAGAUAACCUGGAUUAUGCAAGUAGCAUUAUGAAUAAUGACUCUUAUGAACCGGCCAAGCACAUAAAGGUCAAUAUGCCAAGGUUCGAUGGCACUGAUGCAGAAGGAUGGCUAUUUUCAGUACGAAGGUACUUUAUAUUCAAUAAAAUACCUGAAGAUCAGAAACUGGUUAUUGUAUCAUUUCAUUUAGAUGGGAUAGCAAAGAAAUGGUUUGCUUGGCUUGAAGCAAGCAACAUGCUAUCAUUUUGGAAAAACUUUGUGGAUGCAGUUAUCAGGAAAUUCACAACUUGACACUACUCCCUACCUGGUGGCAAGCUAAGUAAACUAUGCCAAGAAGUUACAGUGGCUGAGUACCAAGCUCUGUUUGAAGAACUAUGCACUAGGGUAUUGGGCCUACCAGAAUAUUUUAUUUUAGAGAUGUAUAUUUCUGGCCUUAAAGAAGAAAUUCAGCCAGAAGUGAUUUCAAAAAAGCCAUCUGAUAUUCAUGAAGCUUUUGAGCUAUCUCUCAUAUUUGAGGCAAGAAAACCAAGGUUUAAAGGCAGCAACAAGCCUUUCUAUACAAAACCAUUCAUACCAAAGACUACACCAUUCAGUUUCAAGCCUGGCCAAAUAGAAGUAACCCCAAAGGAAGCUAACAUACAAAAACCUGUGUUUAAAAGACUAUCUCCUGCUGAAAGAAAGGAGAGAACUGCAAAAGGGUUAUGUUUUAACUGUGAUGAUAAAUUCAUUCCGGGUCACAAGUGUAAAGGAAAUUUUUUCAGAAUGUCGACAGAUGAAUUUUAUUUUUAGGAGGUGGUUGAUGAAGAGGAAACUGAGGAGGAACCUGAAAAUAUAAGUUCUGAGGAUCGGGAAAUCAGCUAUCAUGCAUUUGAGGGUCAUAUUAAUGCCACUACUAUCAGACUAGAUGGGUUCAUAAAAAGUCAGUGUGUGAGUGUUCUAUUAACUACAGGCUCAACACACAACUUUAUGCAAACUGAGGUAGCAGCUGCACUAAAAUUAGUUCCUCAUGUCAUAGUACCAUUUAAAGUAUCUACGGGCAGUGGAAAAUUGAUCUGUGAGGCUGUUUGCAAAGAGGUAGAGAUUAAAAUUCAGAACACAAUUGUAAAAAUGGACAUUUUUCUACUUCAGAUGGAAGGAGCCAAUGUGGUGAUUGGGAUUCAAGGACUGAAAUCUUUAGGACCAGUUACUUUUAAUUUUGAUGAUUUGAAUGUCUUUCCUAAAAGAAGAGAGAUUAUUUGGCAGGGUUGUCCAUGGGAUUCUGAAGACCUCCUAUCUGUGGGUAAGUUAAAGUGUCUUAUUGCUUCAACACAAGAGGCUUACUUAUGUUAUAUGGAAAGGGUAGAAGAAAACGAGAAAGUUCCCAUUUUGAAUUCUAAUAGCCAAGAGGUAACUGAAAUUGUACAACAGUACACUGAUAUUUUUGAAACACCAACAAGGUUACCACCACAAAGGGACAGAGACCACUUUAUACAUCUUGAGAAUAAUUCCAACCCUAUCAAUGUGAGGCCUUAUAGGUACCCACAAUUUAAGAAAUCAGAGAUUGAAAGGUUAUAAGUUGCUGAAAUGAUGACUCAAAAAAUUAUCAAGCCCAGUACUAGUCCCUACUACUCCCCAGUACUGCUAGUAAAAAAGAAAGAUGGGGUUUACAGAUUAUGUGUGGAUUAAGAGCAUUAAAUGCCCUAACUAUCAAAGAUAAGUUCACUAUCCCUACUGUGGAUGAACUCCUUAGAGAACUUAAAGGAUCUAUUUUUUUUCAAAAUUAGAUCUAAGAUCAAACUUCCACCAGAUUAGAGUCCAUGCUCCUCAUACUGAAAGGACAGCAUUCAAAACUCAUCAGGGGCACUUCGAAUUCUUAGUGAUGCCAUUUGGGCUCACAAAUGCACCAGCAACAUUUCAAUCGGUUAUGAAUUCAGUUUUUGCUAAAUAUUUGAGAAAAUUUUGUACAAUCAAAAUUGUCGAUAUAAGAUUAUAUUUUAAUUCAUGUCAAUUUAAACCCUAAUUACACUAUUAAUCUAUAGGGGUUAAAUAAGUCAAUCGAUAUUAAACCUAACUCCAAUUAAUUAAUUAAUCAUUUGAGUUAAAUGUUUAAUUCAAAGUUAAAAGUCAAAUUGGAAUAAUUGCAUCUUUACCUUGAAUAUUAUUAUUAUUAUCUUUUGACUCUUUAUUCAAGGUAUAAUAUUUCAAGGGGACAAAACACUAUUCACGUUUGAAUUUUUUCAAAGAUAAGAUUCUCCAACAAACACUAUUCAAGAUAAGAUCAAAGGCAAAGCUUGGAUUUAUGUGAGAAAUCAAAGAGCCAUCCAUUGAAGAUCCAAGGGUGGACAUUGAGUGGCCAAGGCUAUAAAUAAAAAGGUAUUCCCCUCAUUUUCACUCACCACACUACAAGCAAUCAAAGAGUUUUCACUCCACAUUUGAGAUCACACGUUUUUGCCUCCAAGCUUCCAAGCAUCCAAAGUGCUCAAGUGUCCUAGCUUUCUAAAGUUUCAAAAGCUCUCCAACUUCUUCUUCUAAUCUUCUUGUUCAUCUCUACAAGUAAGAAGUGUUGUUUGCUUAAAUAUUCCACUCCUCUAAUCACCUCUUGUAUGUGUCCACUUUGUUCGAGAGGUUUCCGGGAUAACCUCUAAUAAUCAAAAAGCUCUAAGUUUGGUUUUAUAGAGUUUCCGGGAUAACUUUUAGGUCAAUCUACCUUGAAAGAUUUCUAGGUUCUUAAGAGUUUCCUUAAUUGAUGGCCAAACAGAAAUUGAUGGCCAAACAGAGGUAAUGAACAGAACGCUGGAGAUGUAUUUAAGGUCUUGUUGUCAUGAAGACCCAAAACAAUGGUUGGGGUUACUACCUUGGGCAGAAUUGUGGUAUAAUUUAAGGUAUCACUCAUCACUUGGAAUGACUCCAUUUAAGGCAGUUUAUGGGAAAGAAGCUGAUGAACUACCACAUUACAAUGCAAGGGAAUCUCAAAUUGAAUCAGUAGACACCCUAUUGCAAAUCAGGGAGGAGGUUCUGGAAAUUAUGAAAAAAAAUCUAGCAAAAGCACAAGCAAGGAUGAAAUCACAAGCUGAUAGAAAAAAGGUAUGAUAUCACAUUUAAAUUGGGAGAUUGAGUGUUGGUGAAACUUCAACCAUAUAGACAAAUAUCAGUAGCUAACAGGAUUCACAACAAAUUAUGUCAAAAAUAUUUUGGACCUUAUAAAGUGGAAAAAAUAAUAACAAAGCUGCAUACAGACUCAAGCUACCUGAGGGAAGCAAAAUUCAUAAUACUUUUCAUGUCUCAAGAUUGAAGGCAUUCAUAGGUCCAAUUCCAGAAAAUUCGAGCAAAGGGGAUCCUGUAAUUUCUGUCCAAAACCAACCAAUUACAUACCCAUUAGCAAUACUGGAAAGGAAAAAGUAAAUCAGAUACUAAUUCAAUGGAAUGGAGCAUUACCUGAGGAUUCUUCUUGGGAGUCUAUGGCGGACAUGGCAGCGGCAUUUCCUUCUUUAAACCUUGAGGACAAGGUCGUCUCUAGAGGGGGAAGUGAUGAUAUAAUUCCAAUCAACUAUGAGGAAGUAUCAGAGUAUAUCCAGUUGGAGGGGGGCAGUGAAAUCGCGGAAUCCCUAACUGGGGAAAGAUUGGGGAUGAACGACGACGGUCCAGAACAGCUUAACUCUGGUGAACCUGGUCAGCCUUCCACAAGCAGCAGUAGACCUGCUAGGGAGAGAAAGAAGCCGGCCCACUUGUUUAAUGGGCUAAGGGAGGAAUUGGCCCACUUGAAGAAUUUAAGUUUUUUUAAAAAAAAUUGCUAAAAAG
This 40328-nucleotide long non-coding RNA is filed under the name Zostera marina. RNAcentral describes it as "long non-coding RNA (ZMAR_LNC003723)". The record is from RNAcentral. Lineage: Eukaryota; Viridiplantae; Streptophyta; Magnoliopsida; Alismatales; Zosteraceae.